RNAcentral lists this non-coding RNA (431 nucleotides) under Plasmodium ovale curtisi. RNAcentral's name for it is "Eukaryotic small subunit ribosomal RNA". It matches the Rfam family "Eukaryotic small subunit ribosomal RNA", at positions 1 to 422 of the family's 1831-position model. Lineage: Eukaryota; Apicomplexa; Aconoidasida; Haemosporida; Plasmodiidae. The record is from Rfam by way of RNAcentral.
AACCUGGUUGAUCUUGCCAGUAGUCAUAUGCUUGUCUCAAAGAUUAAGCCAUGCAAGUGAAAGUAUAUGCAUAUUUUAUAUGUAGAAACUGCGAACGGCUCAUUAAAACAGUUAUAAUCUACUUGAAAUUUCUACCUUACAAGGAUAACUACGGAAAAGCUGUAGCUAAUACUUGCUUUAAUGCGUUUGAAUCCUUUUGGAUUCCCGCGUAUGUACUUGUUAAGCCUUUAAGAAAGAAGUUUAUAACUUAAGGAAUUAUAACAAAGAAGUAACACAUAAUAAGGUUGCCUUAUUUAGUGUGUAUCAAUCGAGUUUCUGACCUAUCAGCUUUUGAUGUUAGGGUAUUGGCCUAACAUGGCUAUGACGGGUAACGGGGAAUUAGAGUUCGAUUCCGGAGAGGGAGCCUGAGAAAUAGCUACCACAUCUAAGGA